RNAcentral lists this ribosomal RNA (446 nucleotides) under uncultured bacterium. Its description in RNAcentral is "bacterial SSU rRNA". It matches the Rfam family "Bacterial small subunit ribosomal RNA", at positions 8 to 445 of the family's 1533-position model. The record is from RNAcentral.
AGAGUUUGAUCCUGGCUCAGGAUGAACGCUGGCGGCGUGCCUAACACAUGCAAGUCGAGCGGAGACCCGUGAAGUAGUAAUACGGAACGGAUCUUAGCGGCGGACGGGUGAGUAACACGUGAGUAAUCUGCCUUCGGCAGGGGAAUAACAUUGUGAAAACAGUGCUAAUACCGCAUGAUAUCCGACUGGGGCAUCCCGGACGGAUCAAAGGAGAAAUCCGGCAGAAGAUGAACUCGCGUCCGAUUAGCUAGUUGGUGAGGUAGUGGCUCACCAAGGCGACGAUCGGUAGCCGAACUGAGAGGUUGAUCGGCCACAUUGGGACUGAGACACGGCCCAGACUCCUACGGGAGGCAGCAGUGGGGAAUAUUGGGCAAUGGGCGCAAGCCUGACCCAGCAACGCCGCGUGAAGGACUAACCUUCGGGUUGUAAACUUCUUUGAUCAGGGA